RNAcentral lists this transfer RNA (54 nucleotides) under Paratelmatobius poecilogaster (San Andre rapids frog). RNAcentral's name for it is "partial tRNA-Val". It matches the Rfam family "tRNA", at positions 19 to 71 of the family's 71-position model. Rfam says of the family: Transfer RNA (tRNA) molecules are approximately 80 nucleotides in length. Lineage: Eukaryota; Metazoa; Chordata; Amphibia; Anura; Leptodactylidae. The record is from RNAcentral.
UUAAAGCAUCUCGCUUACACCGAGAAGACAUCUGUGAAAACCAGAUUAUUUCGA